UACAUAGGGGGCAAGCGUUAUCCGGGUUUACUGGGUGUAAAGGGAGCGUAGACGGUUAUGCAAGUCAGAAGUGAAAGCCCAAAGCUCAACUUCGGGACUGCUUUUGAAACUGUGUAACUAGAGUGCAGGAGGGGUAAGCGGAAUUCCUAGUGUAGCGGUGAAAUGCGUAGAUAUUAGGAGGAACACCGGCGGCGAAGGCGGCUUACUGGACUGUAACUGACGUUGAGGCUCGAAAGCGUGGGGAGCAAACAGG
RNAcentral lists this ribosomal RNA (253 nucleotides) under uncultured bacterium. RNAcentral describes it as "partial 16S ribosomal RNA". It matches the Rfam family "Bacterial small subunit ribosomal RNA", at positions 524 to 776 of the family's 1533-position model. The record is from RNAcentral.